RNAcentral lists this ribosomal RNA (1122 nucleotides) under Acinetobacter baumannii. RNAcentral describes it as "partial 23S ribosomal RNA". It matches the Rfam family "Bacterial large subunit ribosomal RNA", at positions 1 to 1173 of the family's 2925-position model. Lineage: Bacteria; Pseudomonadati; Pseudomonadota; Gammaproteobacteria; Moraxellales; Moraxellaceae. The record is from RNAcentral.
AGUCAAGUAAUUAAGUGCAUGUGGUGGAUGCCUUGGCAGUCAGAGGCGAUGAAAGACGUGAUAGCCUGCGAAAAGCUCCGGGGAGGCGGCAAAUAUCCUUUGAUCCGGAGAUGUCUGAAUGGGGGAACCCACCUACUUUAAGGUAGGUAUUGCAACAUGAAUACAUAGUGUUGCAAGGCGAACGAGGGGAAGUGAAACAUCUCAGUACCCUUAGGAAAAGAAAUCAAUUGAGAUUCCCUCAGUAGCGGCGAGCGAACGGGGAUCAGCCCAUUAAGUUAUGUGUGUUUUAGUGGAACGCUCUGGGAAGUGCGAACGUAGAGGGUGAUAUUCCCGUACACGAAAGGGCACACAUAAUGAUGACGAGUAGGGCGAGGCACGUGAAACCUUGUCUGAAUAUGGGGGGACCAUCCUCCAAGGCUAAAUACUCCUGACUGACCGAUAGUGAACCAGUACCGUGAGGGAAAGGCGAAAAGAACCCCUGUGAGGGGAGUGAAAUAGAUCCUGAAACCGCAUGCAUACAAGCAGUGGGAGCACCUUCGUGGUGUGACUGCGUACCUUUUGUAUAAUGGGUCAGCGACUUAUAUUCAGUAGCGAGGUUAACCGUAUAGGGGAGCCGUAGAGAAAUCGAGUCUUAAUAGGGCGUUUAGUUGCUGGGUAUAGACCCGAAACCAGGCGAUCUAUCCAUGAGCAGGUUGAAGGUUGGGUAACACUAACUGGAGGACCGAACCCACUGUCGUUGAAAAGCCAGGGGAUGACUUGUGGAUAGGGGUGAAAGGCUAAUCAAGCCUGGUGAUAGCUGGUUCUCCCCGAAAGCUAUUUAGGUAGCGCCUCGGACGAAUACCAUAGGGGGUAGAGCACUGUUUCGGCUAGGGGGUCAUCCCGACUUACCAAACCGAUGCAAACUCCGAAUACCUAUGAGUACUAUCCGGGAGACAGACUGCGGGUGCUAACGUCCGUAGUCAAGAGGAAAACAAUCCAGACCGCCAGCUAAGGCCCCAAAAUCAUAGUUAAGUGGGAAACGAUGUGGGAAGGCAUAGACAGCUAGGAGGUUGGCUUAGAAGCAGCCACCCUUUAAAGAAAGCGUAAUAGCUCACUAGUCGAGUCGGCCUGCGCGGAAGAUGU